Durio zibethinus is the source of this 2596-nucleotide non-coding RNA. Lineage: Eukaryota; Viridiplantae; Streptophyta; Magnoliopsida; Malvales; Malvaceae. The record is from RefSeq and is a predicted model, not a curated record.
AAUAAAGUGAAAAUUUGAAAUAAAAGGAAAAAUGACAUUACCUUGGUUUAUUUGUUUGCUCUUACCAAAUCAAUUAUCAUCAAUUUAUUACCACAACCAAAUUGAAGGAAGGGAGGAGGAGGAGCAGCCUCCCCUUCCGUUCUUCUUCCUCUCUUGUAAACUUCAAAUUCAUGCUACCAGCUCUUUUUUUUUCUUCUUCUUCUUAGACACAACUUCCAUUUUUAGUCCUUUAAAAAAAAACUAAUUUCGUUAAAUUUCAGUCCAUCUGCCAACUUAUUAUGGAUUUUGGGAAUUCUUGUUUCUUUUUCUUAAAUCAUUCUUCAUUUGGUUUAUCUUAUUGUGCUUGCUUUAAUUCAUCUGCCAAAUCAUCCAUUUUCUGUUUUGGAAGUAGGUUCCCAGAGCCCAAGAUCUCAAACUUUAUCUUGAAACCCUCUUCUUCGUCCAAAUUUACUGCUGCCUCGUCUCCCUUUAGAGAAGACGCUUGAUCCUCUUCCAUUUUUACCUUUCGUUUUUUUUUUCUCUUGCUUUAGUGAUAGACUAUAUGUUAGCUCUAUUUUCCGCGUUUCCCCAGAGCAAUUUGCUAGCCAAGACAAAGAAGCGAAAUGUUGUGCACAUCCUAUUGCGUGCCAGCAUCAGCUAUGGCUUCUCCAACAUUUCCUGAUCAUUGCUUUAUCAGGUAUGAUCACCAUCAUCAUGAUAACAAGGACUUGAGGAGAUGGAAGAUUAGGACCACUGCUGCUACUUCAGCUUCUGCUUACCCUCUCUUUUCCAAUCAGAUUCAGCUAACUAAAGACUCUUCUUCCCGUCACAAAUUUUUCCAGGAGGCUCUUAAGACUGCUAGGGACAAGUUCACUUGGGAGAUCUCCUUCCAGUCCAACGACAAAGACAUCUCUCUUGCUAAGGCUUUGCUUUAUGUUGCAGCUGAAGAUGAAGCAUUCAUGGGUUUCAACCGAGAAAUGGACGCUUGCUCCCUCCUGAAUGAAGGGAUAAAUGUUGCCACCAUAUCUGAUACCAAAGAGUGGGAUUCUGUGGAGCGAAUGCCUUUGGGUGGAAAGCCCAUAUCUGAGUGGCUGAAUGAGUUGGAUGAAAUUGCUAAAGAAGUUGAAGCAAAGCUAGUUUCAAGAGACUUAGGCUGCCAUGUGGUUGAAGUUUUGGAGGCUGUCAAUUUAGUUCUUUUUGAGUUAAGAGGCUUCAAAAGAUCCCCUGUUCUUGUAGAGUCUAAGCAUUCUUACUUACACUUAGUACUGAGCUCUGGAUGUGGCAGUGCAAUUUUGCUUAGCAUAAUUUACAUUGAAGUUUGUUGGCGACUUGAUCUAACCAUUGUUGGAUCUCAAGUUGGGGAAGAUUUUUUGAUAUGGCCCCUGACAGGGUACCUGGAGGAGCUCUUCAAAGUGACUUCAGGACACAGCUUGUUCUCUAUUAUCAAUGGAAGGUGUGUGGAGGACCCCAGAUCAAUGGCAUCAGAUUUAACUGGUACUUCACUUUUAGGGCUUGAGAUAGCUACAAACCGUGAUAUUAUUGGGAUUGCUCUAGCCAAUUUAAUUAGGCUUCACCGGAAACGUACUUCAAGAUCAAAUUAUGGGUUGAUGCUGACUUCUCCCCUUAGGCAUGUUCAUGAUGCUGAUGAGAAACCUAACAAGAUUGAUAAAUCAAAUGCUCCUUUGUUGCAGCCUCAAGAUCUUAGAUAAAAAUUCUAAUUUAUCUUUUUUAUUUUAGUAGCAUAACUUUCUUCCCAAUAUUUUCUUCUAUGUCGCAGCUUUAAUCAUGUUCUUAUGAAACCUUUGACUGUUUUGAACUGCCUAGGCAUUUGAAGCUUAAGAUGAGAUGUUCUGUGUAAUUGGCACCAUAUAUUAUGUAAAGGCCAUGCUCUGCAACUUUGGUAUGUUUAAUUUUAUCUGCUGUAUUGAAUUUUAUUACUAUUGUAAUAGACAAGGUGGUUUGCAUUACUUGUUGAUCUUGUGAAGGUGAGUUGCAUAUUCAUCCAUAUUCUUUCACUAUUCUUUCUAAAUGCACUUCACAAGGACGGUAUCUCUGAUAAGAAUGGCAACCUGGUGAGCUUGGGCUGGCAUUAAUUUCCUCAUGCUGCUCUACCUAGAAAACACUUUCCCUAUGCAUACAUUUUUCCCACUAUUUAUGGUACAACAUGGGUGGUAAAUGUAAUAUUGACAUGUUUGCAAGGAGAUUUUUGUAUUUUGCUCACAUUCUUUUUAGUUGAAUACUGUAACCUCUAUUUCUAAUUUAUAGUGACACUUGGUUGUGGGAUUAGGCUUUCGUUCCAAUAAAUCAUUGACUGGUAAGGAGCUGCUGUAUCUAAGAAUCAUAAAACCUUGUGGAUUAUGUAGAGAAUAUGCUUUUUUAUUGGUUCAUCUGACUCUUUUAUGAGAAAUCAGAACCUGCUGGUAUUUUGAACAGUUUUACCUUUAUGUACACUUUCUGACCGACAAGCUUAAUACCAAAUUAAUUUGGUAAGGAUGUGAUAUCUGAUACGAAGGACGGUUGAAGGCUGGCUAUCGUGGCUUCAGAAAGAAUGUCGAUUCUGCAGCCACAUAACCGGGCGCUAAGGAGAGACCAUGGGAUGAUGCUGUAUUAUAAUAGG